GGCCAUAGCUAAGUAGGAAGGACGCAGGGCAAUUUCCUUGUUGCCCUGCGUCCUUCCUACUUAGCUAUGGCC
This 72-nucleotide microRNA precursor is filed under the name Ictidomys tridecemlineatus (thirteen-lined ground squirrel). Its description in RNAcentral is "Spermophilus tridecemlineatus (thirteen-lined ground squirrel) mir-252 microRNA precursor family". It matches the Rfam family "mir-252 microRNA precursor family". The record is from Rfam by way of RNAcentral. Lineage: Eukaryota; Metazoa; Chordata; Mammalia; Rodentia; Sciuridae.